UUUUAUGACGGCUGUACGCAGGGCGCAUUCGUGCGCGCUGGGUUCCUGGAGUCCCGGUCUACCAUCCUGCUUACGGCCGUCACCCUU
This is a non-coding RNA of Pseudomonas putida, 87 nucleotides long. NCBI's taxonomy places the organism in Bacteria, Pseudomonadati, Pseudomonadota, Gammaproteobacteria, Pseudomonadales, Pseudomonadaceae. The record is from Rfam.